RNAcentral lists this ribosomal RNA (279 nucleotides) under uncultured bacterium. RNAcentral's name for it is "partial 16S ribosomal RNA". It matches the Rfam family "Bacterial small subunit ribosomal RNA", at positions 506 to 784 of the family's 1533-position model. The record is from RNAcentral.
UGCCAGCCGCCGCGGUAAUACGGAGGGUGCGAGCGUUAAUCGGAAUUACUGGGCUUAAAGAGUUCGUAGGUGGUUGAAAAAGUUAGUGGUGAAAUCCCAGAGCUUAACUCUGGAACUGCCUCCAAAACUGCCAGUCUAGAGUUCGAGAGAGGUGAGUGGAACUCCAAGUGUAGAGGUGAAAUUCGUAGAUAUUUGGAAGAACACCAGUGGCGAAGGCGGCUCACUGGCUCGAUACUGACGCUGAGGUGCGAAAGUGUGGGGAGCAAACAGGAUUAGAUA